UUUUUUUUUUUUGAAUAUCGUUUUUAUGUACGGAGGCAGAGGGAGCAGGCUCUGGUCCCCUCGGGGCUAUGUCUUCGGUGCCAGGAGCUACCCAUCCACUGGUUCUAUCCUCAAAUGCCAAGACAAGG
RNAcentral lists this small nucleolar RNA (128 nucleotides) under Echinops telfairi (small Madagascar hedgehog). RNAcentral's name for it is "Small nucleolar RNA SNORA57 (ENSETEG00000022860.1)". It matches the Rfam family "Small nucleolar RNA SNORA57". From Rfam's summary of the family: U99 belongs to the H/ACA class of snoRNAs which are thought to guide the sites of modification of uridines to pseudouridines, the target for this family is unknown. The record is from RNAcentral. Lineage: Eukaryota; Metazoa; Chordata; Mammalia; Afrosoricida; Tenrecidae.